Non-coding RNA from Cucurbita pepo subsp. pepo (vegetable marrow), 1190 nucleotides. The record is from RefSeq and is a predicted model, not a curated record. NCBI's taxonomy places the organism in Eukaryota, Viridiplantae, Streptophyta, Magnoliopsida, Cucurbitales, Cucurbitaceae.
AUACACAAUCAGAUUGAACAAUGAACACCUAUUUACGCUAAGCUGACCAAAAAACCCUCAACGAAAACACACUAAGCUGACCAAAAGAGCAGAGUAAACAGGAUCGAGAGUUUGUCUCAAUUUCUUACCAGCGAAACACGACCGAGAGUUUGUCUCAGUUACUUACUGUUGGAGGGGAUGAGGACGGAACUGUAAGACGGAGGGAUUAUUUGUACAAAAGAGAGUGAGACAUCGACUGCCGAUCCUGAGAUAGUGAGUCGUGUAUCAGACAUAACCGAAAUAGGAAGAUUCUCCAGAUUUUCUUUCUCAGUUUCUCCUGAUUUUUGGCAAAUGUAGGAGGUUGGACGUGGAUCAGAUAGCCGAAAUAGAUCUUCUUUCUCCGUUUCACCCGUAUUUUAGCUGCCAUUUACCCAGAGGUAGGGUGUGGAUCAGAUGACCGAAGUAGGAAGAUUAUCCCGAUCCAAACCUGUUCCUCCUCAAACUAGAGAGGGGGCGUGGAUCAGAGUAGGAAGAUUAUGCGCUCCAUGUCCGGUUCUCCAUAUCUUCGAAUUUUUUGCUAGGGUCGCCGGCGCCUUUCGAUUUUUGGCAAAAAAAAAGUAAUAAUAAAAGAAGGAGAAAUUAACCUGAGCAAUUAAAUGGCCCACCCAAAUAUACAGACGCCAUCAAUGGAGCAAUUAAUGGCUCACCUUCUUCUCUCAUUUACUCUGCCCCCUCCCUCUUCUCUGCGUUUACCUCCUCUCUCUCUCUAUUUUCUUUCUAGCCCAUUAAGAAUAUGAAAAACCAUAUGAAGCCCAUUAAGAAUAUGAAAAGCCCAGCCCAUUAAUAAUGUGAAAAACCCCAUCAAAUAUGAAAAGUCCCUAUGAAGCCCAUUAAGAAUAUGAAAAGUCCCUAUGAAGCCCAUUAAGAAUAUGAAAAGUCCCUAUGGAGCGAUGCUUAUUCUUGCAAUCUACGUGCCAGGAAGUCCACAUAUGUACCGCUACAUAUGCUUGUUCAGAGGUCAAAAGCUCUCUCAAAAUCCAAAAAAGAGUAGGAAAAAAUUAAGUUAAUGUUCUUCUCCGGUUCAGUUUGUCUUAAUUCAGUGUACUUUCCGCAUAUUUAUCCUUAAUUUUCAUUUUUGAUUGGCUUAGUCUUGUUAAGGACAUUUUGUUUCCUCACUUAAUAAAUUUGUCUACUGAGACUGCUUAAUCUAA